UGGAGAAGUGAUGAUACAAUAUCCAUACAAGAAUUCUGCAUUCACUGUGAUGAUACAUCAUGCACUACCAUCUGAUCUCCU
Molecule: small nucleolar RNA, 81 nt
Organism: Lolium rigidum
Lineage: Eukaryota; Viridiplantae; Streptophyta; Magnoliopsida; Poales; Poaceae
Source: RefSeq, a predicted model, not a curated record